This 437-nucleotide ribosomal RNA is filed under the name uncultured bacterium. RNAcentral's name for it is "partial 16S ribosomal RNA". It matches the Rfam family "Bacterial small subunit ribosomal RNA", at positions 28 to 507 of the family's 1533-position model. The record is from RNAcentral.
AGCGAACGCUGGCGGCAGGCUUAACACAUGCAAGUCGAGCGGGCAUCCUCGUGGUGUUUGCGGCAGACGGGUGAGUAACGCGUGGGAACGUGCCCUUCGGUUUGGAAUAACUCAGGGUAACUUGUGCUAAUACCGGAUACGUGCGAGAGCAGCAUGGUUUGUCUGCCGAAGGAUCGGCGCGCGUCUGAUUUGCUAGUUGGUGAGGUUAUGGCUCACCAAGGCGACGAUCAGUAGCUGGUCUGAGAGGAGGAUCAGGGACACGGGGACUGAGACACGGCCCAGACUCCUACGGGAGGCAGAAGGGGGGAAUAUGGGACAAUGGGGGCGACCCUGAGCCAGCCGUGCCGGGGGAGUGAUGACGUCCUGAGGGUUGUGAAGCUCUUUUCUCCGUGACGAUAAUGACGGUACCGGAGGAAUAAGCCCCGGCUAACUUCGUG